RNAcentral lists this ribosomal RNA (406 nucleotides) under uncultured bacterium. Its description in RNAcentral is "partial 16S ribosomal RNA". It matches the Rfam family "Bacterial small subunit ribosomal RNA", at positions 30 to 526 of the family's 1533-position model. The record is from RNAcentral.
AUUGAACGCUGGCGGCAGGCCUAACACAUGCAAGUCGAGCGAGCGGCGGACGGGUGAGUAAUGUCUGGGAAACUGCCUGAUGGAGGGGGAUAACUACUGGAAACGGUAGCUAAUACCGCAUACUAUCAGAUGUGCCCAGAUGGGAUUAGCUCGUGGGUGGGGUAACGGCUCACCUAGGCGACGAUCCCUAGCUGGUCUGAGAGGAUGACCAGCCACAGUAGAACUGAGACACGGGCCAGACGCCUACGGGAUGCAGCAGUGGGGAAUAUUGCACAAUGGGCGCAAGCCUGAUACAGCCAUGCCGGUUGUGUGAAGAAGGCCUUCGGGUUGUAAAGCACUUUCAGCGGGGAGGCGUUACCCGCAGAAGAAGCACCGGCUAACUCCGUGCCAGCCGCCGCGGUAAUUC